This is a long non-coding RNA of Pygocentrus nattereri (red-bellied piranha), 806 nucleotides long. RefSeq lists it as uncharacterized. The record is from RefSeq and is a predicted model, not a curated record. NCBI's taxonomy places the organism in Eukaryota, Metazoa, Chordata, Actinopteri, Characiformes, Serrasalmidae. The transcript is spliced from 2 exons.
CCCUUUGUUGUCUGGCUCCACCCCUGAUCGUUACCACCUGUUUCCCACCUGACCUUUGUUAGCCCUCUUGUAUUUAAGCCCUGUGUUUUCCUUAGUCUAGUGCUGGUCUUUGAGGUUUGAAUUGUUUGUAAGCCUGUUCUGAGGUGCUGUUUGGAUUUCUGUGUGCUUUGUCAUGUUUAUCCCCCCUGCUUUUCGUAUUGGCUACCUGAAACUGGACUGUCAUGGCCACGACCCUGGAUUUGCCCUCAAUAAAAGUCGCUUAUCUCAGCGUAGGCAUCCGCCUCAUUGCUCCCCAUCGUUACAACAAUGAAGCACGUGUUCAGACGACAGGAGAAUUUGUUCUGCACAUCAGUGGCUUUGCACAAGUUGUAGAGUGCAUAUAUAAAUACUAUGCAAUUCUGGAAUUCAUGUUAGUUGUAGAUAAUACUUUUCAUUCAAAUUAUGCCCACAACAUAAUAUGUAAUGAAACUUUUUCUAUUAAAUUUGAAAGGACUUUGAGACUAAUCAAUUCAUGACAGGCUGUUUUGGACCCAAAUUAUAGAAAAUAAGCAGUGAAACAUGAAAUGUUUUUUUGUUGUUGUUGGAAAGGCCAAUGCAUUUACAUAUUAUCACUUAUUUAGCCGGCAAACGGUUAGCCUAUUCAUUCAAGCUGAAGUGUUUCAGCCCACACUGCUUUCUGAAUACAAGACAGCCAAUCAGAAUAGAGAUCAUUUAUAUAGAUUAGUCUUCAAGGCACAAUAAAAGCCUGUUACAUUCUAGGUGUUAAAAAUGAUGGAAAAUAGUCAUGAAACCAUGAAUUAUGUACA